CACACCUUAACAAAUUAUCAUCCUGUUUCCAAUAUUUUUAUCUAGUACAUGUUCUCUUUCAUUGUAGCAUGGACUUGAAGAUAUAUUUAUGAAUUUAGAAUAUCAUCAAGUGACUUAAAAUUAAUAAGGCACUGCUUUCAGUGGAUGAACCGACAUUAUGCAGUGUGACAGGAAAACGCCCGUGAGACCAAAGAUGGCUUAGAUAAAAGGGAAGACGAUGCAGAAGCCUCUGUACCAGAGAAAAAUCCAGAGAUGGCCCUCAAAGAAGUUAGAAACAAGAUGAGAGACCGUCUCAAGUUGUUUAGGUCUGGAGCCACCUUCCCCCACCCACGAGUCGAAGAAAUAGAUCUUUGAACCAGGUUACCCGUGACAUCAAGAUAAACAAAAUUCAACUUCAGGGACAAUUUGAUAAUACCUGUUUAAAAAUUUUUUUUUAGCUCACCUGGGCCGAAGGUUCAAGUGAACUUUUCUGAUCAAAAUUUGUUCGUUGUCUGUCGUCGGCGAAAACUUUUCACAUUUUCAUCUUCUCCAGAACCACUGGGUCAAUUUCAACCAAACUAAGUGACACAAAGCACCCUUGGGUGAAAGGCUUUCAAGUUUGUUCAAAUGAAGGGCCAUGCCCCUUCAAAGGGGAGAUAAUCGCAAAAAUACGGUGGGGUCAUUCAAAAAUCUUCUCAAGAACCACUGGGACAGAGAAGCUGAAAUUUACAUGAAAGCCUCCUGACAUAGUACAGAUUCAAGUUUGUUAAAACCAAUGACCUGGGGGGGGGUGGAUUGGGUCUCAAUAGGGGAUCAAAGUUUUACUUACAAAUAUACAGGGAAAAUCUUUAUGAAAAUUGUCUUCUCAAGAAACACUUGGCCAGAAAUGCUUAGAUUUACAUGAAAGCUUCCCGACAUAGUGUAGACUCAAGUUUGUAAAAUUCACAGGGUUGUCACUAACGCAAGAAUAGGAUCACAGAAAUUUCAUUGGGGUUUGUCUGAUAUGGCGAGUCCCGCAGACGUGUCUCGGACUCUGAGUAAAAAUCAUAAUUUUACUUAAAAGCCCUGAUUUGUGUAUUAAUUAAAACUUAUAGGUAAAACGUUACGCUCUAAUGUGAACCGAGAUGAUACCACCGAGUUCACAGUGUCCCAAUCCGACUUGUUUGUUUAGUGCAGUCAAUUAGGUGCAAAUUAGAAUAUAGUAUUGAAAUUUAGAUACAAAGUAAAAAAAAACAUUUUGCCACUCACAGGCAGUUAUUUAUAUAUGUUUCUUUUUCUUUUUUUUUUUUACAAAUCAGGAUCUAUAUUUAAUUAUAAAUGUUUGUCUUCCGGUAGCCAUUUUUAUUGGAAUUGAAAGUAGCGUAGUUUGUAAACUUUGGUAGAUUUUACAUCAUUUUACAAACAAAAUUAGUACGCAUCUAUUUUAUCACAAUAAUUAUUUAAUUAAAAUUUUGUUUAAUACUGAAUAGGGUUGUAACGAUGAUAGAGGAUUCGGGGAAGUAAUUCUGUUUGCAAUGGGCAAUUAGUUGUGUGAGACCGAGUCGUGAAUGAUUACUUUUAAUUUCAUGUGUACAAAGUGAUCACUGCACUGUUAUGCAUGGGCUUGGCGAAAAUUAACUGAUUUUUGCCAUUUGUUGAAGAUGAAAAUGAACAGAGGUACGACAUUAGCUUGUGUUCACUCAGUAUAAAUAAAGGUGUAGGAAAAAUCUAAAUGACUCUUUAAUUCAACUUUCAUGGGACUCGUCAAAUUUUCAUAGGACUCGUCAAAUUUUCAUGGGACUCAAGCUGCUUACAAACCAUGAUACCGGGACUCGUCUUCAAUAUUUUCUAGUGACAACCCUGAAUCGUGGCCCCCAAGGGUAGGUUUUGGCCACAUAGGGACAAAAGUUUUACAUACAAGUAUAUGGGAAAUCUUUAAAUAUGGACCAAGAUGACUAAGGUGAGCGAUGUGGCCCAUGGACCUCUUGUUUAAUUAUUUGUUUACGUAAGAAAUAGUGCUUUUUAGCUCACCCCAGCCAUAAUUUAAAUGAACUUUUCAAAGUACUUGCUUUGGAAGUUCAUAUAAGUAUUGCUGAAAUUUAUGUAUAUGUAUGUUAAAUAAAUUUUAUUAUCAGAU
Molecule: long non-coding RNA, 2095 nt
Organism: Ostrea edulis (European flat oyster)
Lineage: Eukaryota; Metazoa; Mollusca; Bivalvia; Ostreida; Ostreidae
Exons: 2
Source: RefSeq, a predicted model, not a curated record